Molecule: long non-coding RNA, 244 nt
Filed under: Carica papaya (papaya)
Lineage: Eukaryota; Viridiplantae; Streptophyta; Magnoliopsida; Brassicales; Caricaceae
Description: long non-coding RNA (CPAP_LNC016220)
Source: RNAcentral
UAGAUUUAUCUGCUAAUCGCAAAGUAAUCCUAGUAAACUUAAGUUCUCCUAAUCCUAGCUUCUUGUAAAUAUCAUAUGGCAUCAAAUUAAUGCUAGCUCCUAAAUCACAUAAUGCUUUUUUAAUUGAAAGAUCACUUAAGUCACAUGGAAUAAUAAACUUACAUGGAUCCUUCAAUCUUUAUGGCAUCUUAUUUUGUAGAAUAGCUUAGCAUUCUUCAUUAAGCAUCAUUGUGGCCUCAUCUUC